GCAGGCGGGUGGAGGGGGCACUGGGGCAAACAUGGAAGGGAGGGGGAAUACAAGGGAAGGAAUUGGAUACAUAAAGGAAAGGCAACUACGAGGGAACUGUGUGUAGGGGAAAUUGGGAAAGUGUGUAAAUAGGGUGACCUGCUUUACGGGGAAAUAGGGGAAGUGUGUGUAAGGGAAUUGGGGAGUGUUUGACGGCUUUUGUGUUUGUGUUUUUAAAUGUAUAGGUGUUGUGUUUUUUGUGUGUAGGGGUUGUGAAGGGUAGGCUGCUGUGUGUAUAUAUGUGUGUGUGUGUAGAGAGAGAGAGAGAGAGAGAGAGGGAGAGAGAUAUGGGGUUACUCUGGGGAACUCUAGAGAAGGAAGGGAAAGGAAAUGGAAGUGAGGUAAAGAAAGCUAAAUGGGGAAGCGUAGAAGGUAAUGGGUGAAGGUGAUGGGUGUUACUUGUGAUGAUAGGGUGUGUAGAAGGGUACUGGGUGGUGUAGAUGGGUGUCAAAGGCUAUAAAAAAAGGUAUUGCUAAAGACAGGAAUAGAUAUGGAGGUGUAGAAAAUGGUGGAUGAAGAAGGUGGAUGACGAUGGUGGAGAGAAAGGGAAGAAGAAAGGAACGAAGGAAGGAAGGAGGGGAAUGGAAUAACAAGGGAAGGAGGGAAAAGAGGGAAAGAAAGGAAUUGAAAGAUAGAGAAAGAAAGGAGAUGAAAGGAAAGUUAAAGAAAGGGAAGAAGGUGAGGAAUGGAAUGACAGGGAAGGAAAGAAAGGAUAGGAAAAGAGGGAAGAAAGGAAUUGAAAGAUAAAGAAAGGAGAUGAAAGGAAAGGAAAGAAUAGGAAGAGAAAGUUACGAAUGUCUUAUGAUAGAAAGGAAGGAAAGGGAAGGAGAGAAAUGACCAAGGAAGGAAGGAAGAAGGGAAACGAAUGUGUAGAGAAAGAAGGAAGGAAGGAAGGAAGAUAGGAAGGAAAGGAAAGGAGAGAAAUGGCCAAGGAAGGAAAGGGAAGGAGAGAAAUGGCCAAGGAAGGAAAGGGAAGGAGAGAAAUGGCCAAGGAAGGAAGGAAGGGAAAGGAAUGUGUAGAGAAAGAAGGAAGGAAGGAAGAUAGGAAGGGAAGGAAAGAAAAGAAAUAGCCAAAGAAGGAAAGAAGGAAGGGAAAAAAAGGAAUAUUUAAAGGAAGAAAGAAAGAAAGGAAGGAAGGGAAGGGAAGGAAAACCACAAGAAAACAAACAAAAAAAAGGAGAAAGGGAAGCAGCAGAAAGGUAAAACAAAGGAAGGAAAAAAAAGAACAGGUUAACGAGGAAUGUUAGCGUUAGUGCGUUAGUUCGUCCGUUUAGCUCACCUGUGCAUGCGAGGUGGUGGACGGCCCUCGACAGGUGUAUAGUGUGUCUGGGGCAUGGCUUAGACCAGACACCUGCACUCCCUCACACCUGUCUCUGCACCUGAAUGUUAUAGUUACCUGUUACGAGUCUGGGCGCCUGGAAAUUCCUCUCUCCCUCCCUCUCUCUCUCUUUAUCUACCUAUCUAUAUUUCUGUCUGUCUUUCUAUAAUAGUUUGUUGGUUAUUUUCUUUUGCUUUCUUAUUUUUCGUUUUGGCUAUCUCUCUCUCUAUCUGUCUAUCUCUUCUCCCUCCUCUUCCCUAUUUCUCUUCAUUUUUCUUCUUCUUCUUCUUUUAACUAUUUCUCCCCUUGUCUCUCUCUCCCUUCCUUUUCUCCCUCUUCUUCCAUAUUUUCUCUUCUUCUUCUUCUUCUUUUAAUUAUUUCUUGAUCUGUAUCUCCUUAUCUUUCUCUUAAUAGUUUCUUUACUUAACAUAUUUUUCCCUAUUAUUUUUGCUUUCUCUCUCUUUCUCUAAUUGGUUGUUGUUUUCCAUAUUUUUUUCCUCUUUUCUUCAUCUUUUAACUAUCUCUCUAACUCUCUCUAACUCUCUCUCUCAGGUAGAUCACAGUUUUCCAUCCUCUUUACUCUUUCUUCUUCAACUAUCUCUAUCUUUAUCUCUCUCUAGUAGACCAUUUUCCAUCUUUUUCUUCAUUUUUCUUUUAACUUUCCAUCCAUCUUGUCGAUCUCUCUUACAUAUCAAUUUCCAUCUAUCUCACACCUCCACAAGAACGGAGAGUUAGUUCAGAGGCCAAGACCAGUGAUAGCUAGAUGGAUGAGUAGACAAAUGGAUGGAUAGACGGGCUGGAUGCACCUCCGCCCCCCUCUCUCGUACACACCAUUCACCCACCCCUCCACACACAUGUCAAGGGGAAGGCCAACCACGGAAACUUUCAACAGAGGAGCAAAAAAAUAUGAACGGUUGACGAAAUUGUGGCCGGAUUUUGUAGUCCAUUUUAGCGAUCGUGUAAAAAUAUGAGGGUGAUUCUGAUGGCCAAAUUCAUGUUCUGUCAAAAAGUAAGGGUGAUUCUGAUGGCCAAAUUCAUGUUCUGUCAAAAAGUAAGGGUGAUUCUGAUGGCCAAAUUCAUGUUCUGUCAAAAAGUAAGGGUGAUUCUGAUGGCCAAAUUCAUGUUCUGUCAAAAAGUAAGGGUGAUUCUGAUGGCCAAAUUCAUGUUCUGUCAAAAAGUAAGGGUGAUUCUGAUGGCCAAAUUCAUGUUCUGUCAAAAAGUAAGGGUGAUUCUGAUGGCCAAAUUCAUGUUCUGUCAAAAAGUAAGGUUGAUUCUGAUGGCCAAAUUCAUGUUCUGUCAAAUGCAAGGCUGAAGGAUAGUUGUCAAAGAGUGAGGAUGAUUCUGAUGGCCAAAUUCAUGUUCUGUCAAAUGCAAGGCGGAUGGAUGGUUGUCAAAGAGUGAGGUUGAUUCUUAUGGCCAAAUUCAUGUUCUGUCAAAUGCAAGGCAGAAGGAUAGUUGUCAAAAAGUAAGGUUGAUUCUUUAUAGCCAAAUCACCAUCCUGUCAAAUGCAAGGCAGACUCCUAUGGCCAAAUCUAAUGGUCAAAUCAAUGCUCUGUCAAAAAUCUCUAAUAGCCAAAUCAUAGCCCUGUCAAAACCAAGGCCAAAUCUAGUGGUCAAAUCAAUGCUCUGUCAAAUCUCUCUAAAGCCAAAUCGUCCUGUCAAAAUCAAGCUAACUCAUUGCUCUGUCAAAUAUCUCUAUAGCCAAAUCAUAGCCCUGUCAAAAUCAAGCCCAAAUCAUUUUUCUGUCAAAUCUCUAUAUAGCCAAAUUGUCCUGUCAAAUUCUAGGCCAAAUCUUCAAGGCUCUGUCAAAUAUCUAUAGCCAAAUUGUCCUGUCAAAACCAAGGGCAAAUCUAAUGGGCAAAUCAAUGCACUGUCAAAUCUCUCUAAAGCCAAAUCGUCCUGUCAAAAUCAAGGUCAAAUCACUUCUCUGUCAAAUAUCUCUAUAGCCAAAUCAUAGCCCUGUCAAAACCAAGGCCAAGUCUAUGUGGUCAAAUAUCCUGGGAAUGGUGUGUAUGACAAUAGAUAAAUGGAUGAACAUAGAUAGAUAAAUAUAGAUGGAUGAACAGCAAGAGAACAGUAGUGGAUGAAGUUAGUCAUCCGUGCAUCUCUUUAACUCUUUAUAUAUGCACGCCAACCCCCCCCCCCCCCUCUCUUUUUACUCCCCUCUCCCCUCCCCUUCCCCUCCCCCCUUCUCUUUCCCCUCCCCUUCCCUUCCUCUCUCUUUACUUCCCUUUCUCCCCUCCCCAAUCACCUCCUUCCUCUUUACUUCCUCUCUUUCCCCUCCCCUUCUCUUUACUCCCCAUUCACCUCCUCCCCUCCCUCUUUACU
This is a long non-coding RNA of Eriocheir sinensis (Chinese mitten crab), 3685 nucleotides long. RefSeq lists it as uncharacterized. Lineage: Eukaryota; Metazoa; Arthropoda; Malacostraca; Decapoda; Varunidae. The transcript has 3 exons. The record is from RefSeq and is a predicted model, not a curated record.